GGGGCGGUAGCUCAGUUGGUAGAGCACGUGCUUUGCAAGCACGGGGUCGGGAGUUCGAAUCUCCUCCGCUCCA
Molecule: transfer RNA, 73 nt
Filed under: Phycisphaerales bacterium
Lineage: Bacteria; Pseudomonadati; Planctomycetota; Phycisphaerae; Phycisphaerales
Also listed under: 1 other name
Description: tRNA-Ala
Rfam family: tRNA
About the family: Transfer RNA (tRNA) molecules are approximately 80 nucleotides in length. Their secondary structure includes four short double-helical elements and three loops (D, anti-codon, and T loops).
Source: RNAcentral